This 253-nucleotide ribosomal RNA is filed under the name uncultured prokaryote. RNAcentral describes it as "partial 16S ribosomal RNA". It matches the Rfam family "Bacterial small subunit ribosomal RNA", at positions 524 to 776 of the family's 1533-position model. The record is from RNAcentral.
UACGGAGGGUGCAAGCGUUAUCCGGAUUUACUGGGUUUAAAGGGUGCGCAGGCGGAUAUGUAAGUCAGUGGUGAAAUCUUCCCGCUUAACGGGAAAACUGCCAUUGAUACUAUAUAUCUUGAAUGCUGUGGAGGCAAGCAGAAUAUGUCAUGUAGCGGUGAAAUGCUUAGAUAUGACAUAGAACACCCAUUGCGAAGGCAGCUUACUACGGGAUUAUUGACACUGAGGCACGAAAGCGUGGGGAUCAAACAGG